UGCAAGUCGAACGAUGAAAUCCUCUGCUUGCAGAGGAUGGAUUAGUGGCGAACGGGUGAGUAACACGUGGGUAACCUGCCCAUAAGAGGGGGAUAACAUUCGGAAACGGAUGCUAAUACCGCAUAGGUCUUUGAGACGCCUGUCUCUUAGAUGAAAGGUGGCUUCGGCUGCCGCUUAUGGAUGGACCCGCGGCGUAUUAGCUAGUUGGUGAGGUAAUGGCUCACCAAGGCUGUGAUACGUAGCCGACCUGAGAGGGUGAUCGGCCACACUGGGACUGAGACACGGCCCAGACUCCUACGGGAGGCAGCAGUAGGGAAUCUUCCACAAUGGGUGAAAACCUGAUGGAGCAAUACCGCGUGAGUGAAGAAGGUCUUCGGAUCGUAAAGCUCUGUUGUUAGAGAAGAACAAGUCGGGUAGUAACUGCCCCGACCUUGACGGUAUCUAACCAGAAAGUCACGGCUAACUACGUGCCAGCAGCCGCGGUAAUACGUAGGUGACAAGCGUUGUCCGGAUUUAUUGGGCGUAAAGCGAGCGCAGGCGGUCUUUUAAGUCUGAUGUGAAAGCCCACGGCUCAACCGUGGAGGGUCAUUGGAAACUGGAAGACUUGAAUGCAGAAGAGGAAAGUGGAAUUCCAUGUGUAGCGGUGAAAUGCGUAGAUAUAUGGAGGAACACCAGUGGCGAAGGCGACUUUCUGGUCUGUAAUUGACGCUGAGGCUCGAAAGCGUGGGGAGCGAACAGGAUUAGAUACCCUGGUAGUCCACGCCGUAAACGAUGAGUGCUAAGUGUUGGAGGGUUUCCGCCCUUCAGUGCUGGAGCUAACGCAUUAAGCACUCCGCCUGGGGAGUACGGCCGCAAGGCUGAAACUCAAAGGAAUUGACGGGGACCCGCACAAGCGGUGGAGCAUG
This 905-nucleotide ribosomal RNA is filed under the name Marinilactibacillus sp. CPA-77. RNAcentral describes it as "bacterial SSU rRNA". It matches the Rfam family "Bacterial small subunit ribosomal RNA", at positions 56 to 941 of the family's 1533-position model. The record is from RNAcentral. Lineage: Bacteria; Bacillati; Bacillota; Bacilli; Lactobacillales; Carnobacteriaceae.